UUUCGACUCAGGGCUUCAUGUUGUGCACUACUCGCGCUACUUCAAUGGGACUGACAACAUGGUGACGGUGAGCAGUGCACGUUUGGAAGAACUAUGGUCUUCGGUUCUUUACCAGCUACUCUGCUUGGAAGGAAACAGGGGAUACAUCCCACAAGAGAUUAGGGAGAUCAUCCAUGGGAUGUGAAAGAAAUGACGCGAAGAUGGGGAGGUUUAUUUUGUCCUGUACUCCUCGGUGUGUCUGUGGAGGGAAAUAUUUUGGCUCAAGACUGUAUGCGUCUGUCAAUGCCUAUAUAUUGCUGAAAAUGUGGCAAGGGAUGAAAAUUGACAAACAUUUCCGUAAGCAUAUGUUUGGAGUUGAGAAA
Panicum hallii is the source of this 362-nucleotide long non-coding RNA. RefSeq lists it as uncharacterized. Lineage: Eukaryota; Viridiplantae; Streptophyta; Magnoliopsida; Poales; Poaceae. The transcript is spliced from 2 exons. The record is from RefSeq and is a predicted model, not a curated record.